UACGUAGGGGGCGAGCGUUGUUCGGAAUUACUGGGCGUAAAGGGCGCGUAGGCGGCCGAUCAAGUUAGAUGUGAAAGUCCUGGGCUUAACCUGGGGACUGCAUUUGAUACUGAUUGGCUUGAAUUCGGGAGAGGAUAGCGGAAUUCCCAGUGUAGAGGUGAAAUUCGUAGAUAUUGGGAAGAACACCGGUGGCGAAGGCGGCUAGCUGGACCGACAUUGACGCUGAGGCGCGAAAGCGUGGGGAGCAAACAGG
RNAcentral lists this ribosomal RNA (253 nucleotides) under uncultured bacterium. RNAcentral's name for it is "partial 16S ribosomal RNA". It matches the Rfam family "Bacterial small subunit ribosomal RNA", at positions 524 to 776 of the family's 1533-position model. The record is from RNAcentral.